Molecule: long non-coding RNA, 352 nt
Organism: Leptopilina heterotoma
Lineage: Eukaryota; Metazoa; Arthropoda; Insecta; Hymenoptera; Figitidae
Exons: 3
Source: RefSeq, a predicted model, not a curated record
CGCGAUCGAUUAAAAUUUAGGGUGUUUUAAUUUUUAAAUUCUAGUAUUUUUUUUUAAAUAUCGGGAGUGUCGUAAUACUUAAAACCGCGAUCGAAUUAAAAAGAAAGUUUUCCCUUUUUUCCUCGUUUUUAACACGUGGUUCGGGAGUGUCCGAAAUUUUCUGAAAUCGCGAGUGAGUGUUGUUGUUUGUUUUCCAAAGAUGACAACGUUGGAAUGCCUCUGCAAGCCUAAGGUUAACUUCUAUACCAAAACAGGAACAAUUAAGGUCACUGUCUUCUCACUAAUUGAAAUACACGAGGUGAACGAGUUGGGAUUGAUGCUGUUCCCUGAGAGGCUUAUUGUGAUCUACAAU